Molecule: ribosomal RNA, 465 nt
Filed under: uncultured bacterium
Lineage: Bacteria
Description: partial 16S ribosomal RNA
Rfam family: Bacterial small subunit ribosomal RNA
Source: RNAcentral
GAUGAACGCUGGCGGCGUGCUUAACACAUGCAAGUCGAACGAUGAAGCCCAGCUUGCUGGGUGGAUUAGUGGCGAACGGGUGAGUAACACGUGAGAACCUGCCCUUAACUCUGGGAUUAGCCUGGGAAACUUGGUCUAAUACCCGAUAGGAGCGUCCCCCGCAUGGUGGGUGUUGGAAAGAUUUAUCGGUUUUGGAUGGACUCGCGGCCUAUCAGCUUGUUGGUGAGGUAAUGGCUCACCAAGGCGACGACGGGUAGCCGGCCUGAGAGGGUGACCGGCCACACUGGGACUGAGACACGGCCCAGACUCCUACGGGAGGCAGCAGUGGGGAAUAUUGCACAAUGGGCGAAAGCCUGAUGCAGCGACGCCGCGUGAGGGAUGACGGCCUUCGGGUUGUAAACCUCUUUCAGUAGGGAAGAAGCGAAAGUGACGGUACCUGCAGAAGAAGCACCGGCUAACUACGUG